AUGGCCUUCCUCCGCAUGGGGGUNGUUGGAAAGUUCCGGCGGUCCAGGAUGACCCCGCGGCCUUUCAGCUUGUUGGUGGGGUAAUGGCCUACCAAGGCGACGACGGGUAGCCGGCCUGAGAGGGCGACCGGCCACACUGGGACUGAGACACGGCCCAGAUUCCUACGGGAGGCAGCAGUGGGGAAUAUUGCACAAUGGGCGAAAGCCUGAUGCAGCGACGCCGCGUGAGGGAUGACGGCCUUCGGGUUGUAAACCUCUUUCAGCAGGGAAGAAGCGCAAGUGACGGUACCUGCAGAAGAAGCACCGGCUAACUACGUGCCAGCAGCCGCGGUAAUACGUAGGGUGCGAGCGUUGUCCGGAAUUAUUGGGCGUAAAGAGCUCGUAGGCGGCCUGUCGCGUCGGAUGUGAAAGCCCGGGGCUUAACCCCGGGUCUGCAUUCGAUACGGGCAGGCUAGAGUGUGGUAGGGGAGAUCGGAAUUCCUGGUGUAGCGGUGAAAUGCGCAGAUAUCAGGAGGAACACCGGUGGCGAAGGCGGAUCUCUGGGCCAUUACUGACGCUGAGGAGCGAAAGCGUGGGGAGCGAACAGGAUUAGAUACCCUGGUAGUCCACGCCGUAAACGUUGGGAACUAGGUGUUGGCGACAUUCCACGUCGUCGGUGCCGCAGCUAACGCAUUAAGUUCCCCGCCUGGGGAGUACGGCCGCAAGGCUAAAACUCAAAGGAAUUGACGGGGGCCCGCACAAGCAGCGGAGCAUGUGGCUUAAUUCGACGCAACGCGAAGAACCUUACCAAGGCUUGACAUAUGCCGGAAACAUCCAGAGAUGGGUGCCCCCUUGUGGUCGGUAUACAGGUGGUGCAUGGUUGUCGUCAGCUCGUGUCGUGAGAUGUUGGGUUAAGUCCCGCAACGAGCGCAACCCUUGUUCUGUGUUGCCAGCAUGCCUUUCGGGGUGAUGGGGACUCACAGGAGACUGCCGGGGUCAACUCGGAGGAAGGUGGGGACGGCCCCUUAUGUCUUGGGCUGCACACG
RNAcentral lists this ribosomal RNA (1025 nucleotides) under Kitasatospora aburaviensis. RNAcentral describes it as "bacterial SSU rRNA". It matches the Rfam family "Bacterial small subunit ribosomal RNA", at positions 173 to 1222 of the family's 1533-position model. Lineage: Bacteria; Bacillati; Actinomycetota; Actinomycetes; Kitasatosporales; Streptomycetaceae. The record is from RNAcentral.